AGCGAACGCUGGCGGCGUGCCUAACACAUGCCAGUCGAACGUGAAAAGGGAAACCUGAGUAAAGUGGCGUACGGGUGAGUAACGCGUAGGUAAUCUACCCCAGAAUCUGGAAUAACCUGCCGAAAGGCGGGCUAAUACUGGAUAGAGCGAGGGAACUCGUAAGAGAGUUUUUCGGGAAAGGGAGCCCGCAAGGGCCUUCGUUCUGGGAUGGGCCUGCGUCUCAUUAGCUAGUUGGUAAGGUAACGGCUUACCAAGGCGAUGAUGAGUAGCUGGUCUGAGAGGAUGAUCAGCCCACCUGGAACUGAAACAAGGUCCAGACUCCUACGGGAGGCAGCAGUGGGGAAUCUUGCGCAAUGGACGAAAGUCUGACGCAGCCACGCCGCGUGAGUGAAGAAGGCCUUCGGGUUGUAAAGCUCUGUCGGAUGGGACGAACAUCUUCAUAGUGAAUAGCUAUGAGGACUGACGGUACCAUCAAAGGAAGCACCGGCUAACUCCGUG
Molecule: ribosomal RNA, 498 nt
Filed under: uncultured bacterium
Lineage: Bacteria
Description: partial 16S ribosomal RNA
Rfam family: Bacterial small subunit ribosomal RNA
Source: RNAcentral